UCCCGUUUGACACGGGCAGUCCCUUUAGAGUGCCCAACUUAGUGAUGGCAACUAAAGGCAAGGGUUGCGCUCGUUGCGGGACUUAACCCAACAUCUCACGACACGAGCUGACGACAGCCAUGCAGCACCUGAACCAGAGGUCCCCGAAGGGAAGACCUUAUUUCUAAGGCUGUCCUCUGUUGUCUAGCCCGGGUAAGGUUCUUCGCGUUGCGUCGAAUUGAACCACAUACUCCACCGCUUGUGCAGGCCCCCGUCAAUUUCUUUGAGUUUUAAUCUUGCGACCGUACUUCCCAGACAGCACAUUUAUCGCGUUAGCUUCGCCACAAAAGGGGUCGAUUCCUUUUACAGCAAAUGUGCACCGUUUACAGCGUGGACUAC
This 378-nucleotide unclassified non-coding RNA is filed under the name uncultured bacterium. RNAcentral's name for it is "contains 16S-23S intergenic spacer region". The record is from RNAcentral.